UGGAAAUGAUGAAACAGAGAUAACUGGGUGCAUUUGAAUGGUGUGUGAUUGGAGCAUUUUUAAAUUAAGUAAAUAUUAAAAUUGAGUGGGGGAGGGGGUGUUUGUGUGUGUGUGUGUGUGUGUGUGUGUGUAUGCAUGCAUGGAUUUAAGUAUAAAGGCUAAGGAAAGGGAGCCCUGACAGAUAAUGCAGAUAUCGGAGUGCAUCUGAGGCAGUUGUAAAAAUACAAGAGUGUUUAUUACAACUUUGCCAGUGAUUACAAUCCGAAAACGGCUCACCUACCUGCCUGACACCCUAUAAUCUCUAACAGGUUCAUAAACGUGGACCUGUAAUCUGAUCCAU
This is a non-coding RNA of Gracilinanus agilis (Agile Gracile Mouse Opossum), 340 nucleotides long. RefSeq annotates it as small Cajal body-specific RNA 7. The record is from RefSeq and is a predicted model, not a curated record. The transcript has a single exon. Lineage: Eukaryota; Metazoa; Chordata; Mammalia; Didelphimorphia; Didelphidae.